This is a small nuclear RNA of Nannospalax galili (Upper Galilee mountains blind mole rat), 109 nucleotides long. NCBI's taxonomy places the organism in Eukaryota, Metazoa, Chordata, Mammalia, Rodentia, Spalacidae. The record is from Ensembl.
AUGCUCAGUUUGGCAGCACAUAGACUGAAACUAGAACAAUACAGAGAAGAUUAGGAUGUGACCCCUGCACAAGAACUACAUGUGAGUUCGUGAAGCACGCCAUUUCUUU